This 1689-nucleotide ribosomal RNA is filed under the name Salmonella enterica subsp. enterica serovar Mikawasima. Its description in RNAcentral is "partial 23S ribosomal RNA". It matches the Rfam family "Bacterial large subunit ribosomal RNA", at positions 1154 to 2802 of the family's 2925-position model. Lineage: Bacteria; Pseudomonadati; Pseudomonadota; Gammaproteobacteria; Enterobacterales; Enterobacteriaceae. The record is from RNAcentral.
CGUAUCACUUAAAGCGAUUCAGCGGGUUACGAUUGACGGAGCGAAGCGACGUCAAAGCGUAUACAAAGUCGAGUCGGUUUAAGGAUACGUUCGUUGGGUAGGGGAGCGUUCUGUAAGCCUGUGAAGGUGGCCUGUGAGGGUUGCUGGAGGUAUCAGAAGUGCGAAUGCUGACAUAAGUAACGAUAAAGCGGGUGAAAAGCCCGCUCGCCGGAAGACCAAGGGUUCCUGUCCAACGUUAAUCGGGGCAGGGUGAGUCGACCCCUAAGGCGAGGCCGAAAGGCGUAGUCGAUGGGAAACGGGUUAAUAUUCCCGUACUUGGUGUUACUGCGAAGGGGGGACGGAGAAGGCUAUGUUGGCCGGGCGACGGUUGUCCCGGUUUAAGCGUGUGGGUGUGUGUUCUAGGUAAAUCCGGUUCACUUUAACACUGAGGCGUGAUGACGAGGCACUACGGUGCUGAAGCAACAAAUGCCCUGCUUCCAGGAAAAGCCUCUAAGCAUCAGGUAACAUCAAAUCGUACCCCAAACCGACACAGGUGGUCAGGUAGAGAAUACCAAGGCGCUUGAGAGAACUCGGGUGAAGGAACUAGGCAAAAUGGUGCCGUAACUUCGGGAGAAGGCACGCUGACACGUAGGUGAAGUGAUUUACUCAUGGAGCUGAAGUCAGUCGAAGAUACCAGCUGGCUGCAACUGUUUAUUAAAAACACAGCACUGUGCAAACACGAAAGUGGACGUAUACGGUGUGACGCCUGCCCGGUGCCGGAAGGUUAAUUGAUGGGGUCAGCGCAAGCGAAGCUCCUGAUCGAAGCCCCGGUAAACGGCGGCCGUAACUAUAACGGUCCUAAGGUAGCGAAAUUCCUUGUCGGGUAAGUUCCGACCUGCACGAAUGGCGUAAUGAUGGCCAGGCUGUCUCCACCCGAGACUCAGUGAAAUUGAACUCGCUGUGAAGAUGCAGUGUACCCGCGGCAAGACGGAAAGACCCCGUGAACCUUUACUAUAGCUUGACACUGAACAUUGAGCCUUGAUGUGUAGGAUAGGUGGGAGGCUUUGAAGUGUGGACGCCAGUCUGCAUGGAGCCGACCUUGAAAUACCACCCUUUAAUGUUUGAUGUUCUAACGUGGACCCGUAAUCCGGGUUGCGGACAGUGUCUGGUGGGUAGUUUGACUGGGGCGGUCUCCUCCUAAAGAGUAACGGAGGAGCACGAAGGUUGGCUAAUCCUGGUCGGACAUCAGGAGGUUAGUGCAAUGGCAUAAGCCAGCUUGACUGCGAGCGUGACGGCGCGAGCAGGUGCGAAAGCAGGUCAUAGUGAUCCGGUGGUUCUGAAUGGAAGGGCCAUCGCUCAACGGAUAAAAGGUACUCCGGGGAUAACAGGCUGAUACCGCCCAAGAGUUCAUAUCGACGGCGGUGUUUGGCACCUCGAUGUCGGCUCAUCACAUCCUGGGGCUGAAGUAGGUCCCAAGGGUAUGGCUGUUCGCCAUUUAAAGUGGUACGCGAGCUGGGUUUAGAACGUCGUGAGACAGUUCGGUCCCUAUCUGCCGUGGGCGCUGGAGAACUGAGGGGGGCUGCUCCUAGUACGAGAGGACCGGAGUGGACGCAUCACUGGUGUUCGGGUUGUCAUGCCAAUGGCACUGCCCGGUAGCUAAAUGCGGAAGAGAUAAGUGCUGAAAGCAUCUAAGCACGAAACUUGCCCCGA